RNAcentral lists this ribosomal RNA (462 nucleotides) under uncultured bacterium. RNAcentral describes it as "partial 16S ribosomal RNA". It matches the Rfam family "Bacterial small subunit ribosomal RNA", at positions 339 to 795 of the family's 1533-position model. The record is from RNAcentral.
CUACGGGGGGCUGCAGUAACGAAUAUUGGACAAUGGGCGAAAGCCUGAUCCAGCGACGCCGCGUGUAGGAAGAAGUCCCUCGGGAUGUAAACUACUGUCAGGGACCACCAAGCAAUCGAGGUUAAUACCCUUGUGCGUUGAGGAAUCCCAGAGGAAGUCACGGCUAACUUCGUGCCAGCAGCCGCGGUAAGACGAAGGUGGCGAGCGUUGUUCGGAAUCACUGGGCUUAAAGAGCACGUAGGCGGACUGUCAAGCGUCUUGUGAAAGCCCUCGGCUCAACCGAGGAACGGCGGGGCGAACUGGCAGUCGUGAGGCAGGUAGGGGCAACUGGAACUCAUGGUGGAGCGGUGGAAUGCGUAGAUAUCAUGAGGAACGCCAGCGGCGAAGGCGAGUUGCUGGGCCUGUCCUGACGCUGAGGUGCGAAAGCUAGGGUAGCGAACGGGAUUAGAUACCCGGGUAGUC